GUCCAAGUGGUGAAAUAGGUAGACACGAGGGACUUAAAAUCCCUUGGCCAGUGAUGGCCGUGCGGGUUCGAUUCCCGCCUUGGGCACUA
Molecule: transfer RNA, 89 nt
Filed under: Bacteroidota bacterium
Lineage: Bacteria; Pseudomonadati; Bacteroidota
Description: Bacteroidetes bacterium (freshwater metagenome) tRNA-Leu
Rfam family: tRNA
About the family: Transfer RNA (tRNA) molecules are approximately 80 nucleotides in length. Their secondary structure includes four short double-helical elements and three loops (D, anti-codon, and T loops). Further hydrogen bonds mediate the characteristic L-shaped molecular structure. tRNAs have two regions of fundamental functional importance: the anti-codon, which is responsible for specific mRNA codon recognition, and the 3' end, to which the tRNAs corresponding amino acid is attached (by aminoacyl-tRNA synthetases). tRNAs cope with the degeneracy of the genetic code in two manners: having more than one tRNA (with a specific anti-codon) for a particular amino acid; and 'wobble' base-pairing, i.e. permitting non-standard base-pairing at the 3rd anti-codon position.
Source: RNAcentral